RNAcentral lists this microRNA precursor (61 nucleotides) under Nautilus pompilius. Its description in RNAcentral is "Npo-Mir-1-P20_pre stem-loop". It matches the Rfam family "mir-1 microRNA precursor family", at positions 10 to 70 of the family's 79-position model. From Rfam's summary of the family: This family represents the microRNA (miRNA) mir-1 family. miRNAs are transcribed as ~70nt precursors (modelled here) and subsequently processed by the Dicer enzyme to give a ~22nt product. In this case the mature sequence comes from the 3' arm of the precursor. The record is from RNAcentral. Lineage: Eukaryota; Metazoa; Mollusca; Cephalopoda; Nautilida; Nautilidae.
ACAUACUUCUUUACUAUCCCAUAGACUGUCACAAAAUUAUGGAAUGUAAAGAAGUAUGUAU